RNAcentral lists this ribosomal RNA (1387 nucleotides) under Chryseobacterium sp. 9Kp8. RNAcentral's name for it is "bacterial SSU rRNA". It matches the Rfam family "Bacterial small subunit ribosomal RNA". The record is from RNAcentral. Lineage: Bacteria; Pseudomonadati; Bacteroidota; Flavobacteriia; Flavobacteriales; Weeksellaceae.
AGCCGAGCGGUAUAGAUUCUUCGGAAUCUAGAGAGCGGCGUACGGGUGCGGAACACGUGUGCAACCUACCUUUAUCAGGGGGAUAGCCUUUCGAAAGGAAGAUUAAUACCCCAUAAUAUAUUGACUGGCAUCAGUCGAUAUUGAAAACUCCGGUGGAUAGAGAUGGGCACGCGCAAGAUUAGAUAGUUGGUAGGGUAACGGCCUACCAAGUCAGUGAUCUUUAGGGGGCCUGAGAGGGUGAUCCCCCACACUGGUACUGAGACACGGACCAGACUCCUACGGGAGGCAGCAGUGAGGAAUAUUGGACAAUGGGUGAGAGCCUGAUCCAGCCAUCCCGCGUGAAGGACGACGGCCCUAUGGGUUGUAAACUUCUUUUGUAUAGGGAUAAACCUACUCUCGUGAGAGUAGCUGAAGGUACUAUACGAAUAAGCACCGGCUAACUCCGUGCCAGCAGCCGCGGUAAUACGGAGGGUGCAAGCGUUAUCCGGAUUUAUUGGGUUUAAAGGGUCCGUAGGCGGAUCUGUAAGUCAGUGGUGAAAUCUCAUAGCUUAACUAUGAAACUGCCAUUGAUACUGCAGGUCUUGAGUAAAGUAGAAGUGGCUGGAAUAAGUAGUGUAGCGGUGAAAUGCAUAGAUAUUACUUAGAACACCAAUUGCGAAGGCAGGUCACUAUGUUUUAACUGACGCUGAUGGACGAAAGCGUGGGGAGCGAACAGGAUUAGAUACCCUGGUAGUCCACGCCGUAAACGAUGCUAACUCGUUUUUGGGUCUUUAAGAUUCAGAGACUAAGCGAAAGUGAUAAGUUAGCCACCUGGGGAGUACGUUCGCAAGAAUGAAACUCAAAGGAAUUGACGGGGGCCCGCACAAGCGGUGGAUUAUGUGGUUUAAUUCGAUGAUACGCGAGGAACCUUACCAAGGCUUAAAUGGGAAUUGACAGGUUUAGAAAUAGACUUUUCUUCGGACAAUUUUCAAGGUGCUGCAUGGUUGUCGUCAGCUCGUGCCGUGAGGUGUUAGGUUAAGUCCUGCAACGAGCGCAACCCCUGUCACUAGUUGCCAUCAUUCAGUUGGGGACUCUAGUGAGACUGCCUACGCAAGUAGAGAGGAAGGUGGGGAUGACGUCAAAUCAUCACGGCCCUUACGCCUUGGGCCACACACGUAAUACAAUGGCCAGUACAGAGGGCAGCUACCAGGCGACUGGAUGCGAAUCUCGAAAGCUGGUCUCAGUUCGGAUUGGAGUCUGCAACUCGACUCUAUGAAGCUGGAAUCGCUAGUAAUCGCAUAUCAGCCAUGAUGCGGUGAAUACGUUCCCGGGCCUUGUACACACCGCCCGUCAAGCCAUGGAAGUUUGGGGUACCUGAAGUCGGUGACCGUAACAGGAGCUGCCUAGG